GAUGAACGCUGGCGGCGUGCCUAAUACAUGCAAGUCGAGCGAACGGACGAGAAGCUUGCUUCUCUGAUGUUAGCGGCGGACGGGUGAGUAACACGUGGAUAACCUACCUAUAAGACUGGGAUAACUUCGGGAAACCGGAGCUAAUACCGGAUGAUAUUUUGAACCGCAUGGUUCAAAAGUGAAAGACGGUCUUGCUGUCACUUAUAGAUGGAUCCGCGCUGCAUUAGCUAGUUGGUAAGGUAACGGCUUACCAAGGCAACGAUGCAUAGCCGACCUGAGAGGGUGAUCGGCCACACUGGAACUGAGACACGGUCCAGACUCCUACGGGAGGCAGCAGUAGGGAAUCUUCCGCAAUGGGCGAAAGCCUGACGGAGCAACGCCGCGUGAGUGAUGAAGGUCUUCGGAUCGUAAAACUCUGUUAUUAGGGAGGAACAUAUGUGUAAGUAACUGUGCACAUCUUGACGGUACCUAAUCAGAAGGCCACGGCUAACUACGUG
Molecule: ribosomal RNA, 497 nt
Filed under: uncultured bacterium
Lineage: Bacteria
Description: partial 16S ribosomal RNA
Rfam family: Bacterial small subunit ribosomal RNA
Source: RNAcentral